Molecule: long non-coding RNA, 611 nt
Organism: Sitodiplosis mosellana (orange wheat blossom midge)
Lineage: Eukaryota; Metazoa; Arthropoda; Insecta; Diptera; Cecidomyiidae
Exons: 3
Source: RefSeq, a predicted model, not a curated record
GGUCAAUUCAAUCUAACUUUCCGUUCCAAAAGAUCAAAUUAAAACACCAUUUCAUAACAGUGAACAAAACAAUGGAUUUACUCCGAUUUUUCUUCAUUUUAAUAUUAAUGUUGUAUUUCGGAAAGGAAACAAUAUCGAAGCAAGUGGAUAAUCCGGAACAUCGUGCUUGGUCUAAUCGUCUUGAUAAGAAAUUCACCGGAAAAUCUUUUUAUGAUAAGGUUGUUCGACCGUUUAUACAUGGCAGCUAUCACACAGCUCGGUAUUUCGGCUAUGAAGCAAAAAAACUUUGGACCAGAUUAACUGAUUCACCAAAAGGUCGAAAACCAAAGAGCGACAGUUGAUAAAACAAUUAUUGGAUAUACGACAAAGAGGUUUUGAUUCUUUUAUCAUCAAUGUGUUCCGGUGCGCAUAUUUUUAGUUUCGCAUAAUACGAAUAUCACAGGCAUAUCUGCGUCUGUGUGACUUGCGUUCGGAUUGAAAUUAUCGCGUUAUAUGAUACAAAAAAAAAAUGUAUUCUAGACACAUUGUUUUAUAUUCGUAUUCGAUAGUUCAGAUCAUCUUUCCAAAAAAAUGUACAAUCGUUUUUAUCUUAACAACUUACUUAAAUAUAU